RNAcentral lists this ribosomal RNA (1023 nucleotides) under Microbacterium esteraromaticum. RNAcentral's name for it is "bacterial SSU rRNA". It matches the Rfam family "Bacterial small subunit ribosomal RNA", at positions 31 to 1065 of the family's 1533-position model. The record is from RNAcentral. Lineage: Bacteria; Bacillati; Actinomycetota; Actinomycetes; Micrococcales; Microbacteriaceae.
GGGGCCUUGCGGCGUGCUUACACAUGCAGUCGAACGAUGAAGCCCAGCUUGCUGGGUGGAUUAGUGGCGAACGGGUGAGUAACACGUGAGCAACCUGCCCCUGACUCUGGGAUAAGCGCUGGAAACGGCGUCUAAUACUGGAUAUGUCCCGUCACCGCAUGGUGUGCGGGUGGAAAGAUUUUUCGGUUGGGGAUGGGCUCGCGGCCUAUCAGCUUGUUGGUGAGGUAAUGGCUCACCAAGGCGUCGACGGGUAGCCGGCCUGAGAGGGUGACCGGCCACACUGGGACUGAGACACGGCCCAGACUCCUACGGGAGGCAGCAGUGGGGAAUAUUGCACAAUGGGCGGAAGCCUGAUGCAGCAACGCCGCGUGAGGGAUGACGGCCUUCGGGUUGUAAACCUCUUUUAGCAGGGAAGAAGCGAAAGUGACGGUACCUGCAGAAAAAGCACCGGCUAACUACGUGCCAGCAGCCGCGGUAAUACGUAGGGUGCAAGCGUUAUCCGGAAUUAUUGGGCGUAAAGAGCUCGUAGGCGGUCUGUCGCGUCUGCUGUGAAAUUCCGAGGCUCAACCUCGGGCUUGCAGUGGGUACGGGCAGACUAGAGUGCGGUAGGGGAGAUUGGAAUUCCUGGUGUAGCGGUGGAAUGCGCAGAUAUCAGGAGGAACACCGAUGGCGAAGGCAGAUCUCUGGGCCGUAACUGACGCUGAGGAGCGAAAGGGUGGGGAGCAAACAGGCUUAGAUACCCUGGUAGUCCACCCCGUAAACGUUGGGAACUAGUUGUGGGGUCCUUUCCACGGAUUCCGUGACGCAGCUAACGCAUUAAGUUCCCCGCCUGGGGAGUACGGCCGCAAGGCUAAAACUCAAAGGAAUUGACGGGGACCCGCACAAGCGGCGGAGCAUGCGGAUUAAUUCGAUGCAACGCGAAGAACCUUACCAAGGCUUGACAUACACGAGAACGGGCCAGAAAUGGUCAACUCUUUGGGACACUCGUGAACAGGUGGUGCAUGGGUUGUCGUCAGCUUCGGU